RNAcentral lists this ribosomal RNA (406 nucleotides) under uncultured bacterium. RNAcentral describes it as "partial 16S ribosomal RNA". It matches the Rfam family "Bacterial small subunit ribosomal RNA", at positions 30 to 526 of the family's 1533-position model. The record is from RNAcentral.
AUUGAACGCUGGCGGCAGGCCUAACACAUGCAAGUCGAACGAGUGGCGGACGGGUGAGUAAUGUAUGGGAAACUGCCUGAUGGAGGGGGAUAACUACUUGAAACGGUAGCUAAUACCGCAUACCAUCGGAUGUGCCCAGCUGGGAUUAGCUAGUAGGUGGGGUAACGGCUCACCUAGGGGACGAUCCCUAGCUGUUCUGAGAGGAUGAACAGCAAAACUGGAACUGGGACAAGGGCCAGAUUCCUACGGGAGUCAGCAGUGGGGAAUAUUGCACAAUGGGCGCAAGCCUGAUGCAGCCAUGCCGCGUGUAUGAAGAAGGCCUUAGGGUUGUAAAGUACUUUCAGCGGGGAGGCGUUACCCGAAGAAGAAGCACCGGCUAACUCCGUGCCAGCAGCCGCGGUAAUUC